RNAcentral lists this ribosomal RNA (542 nucleotides) under uncultured Cytophagales bacterium. Its description in RNAcentral is "bacterial SSU rRNA". It matches the Rfam family "Bacterial small subunit ribosomal RNA", at positions 366 to 908 of the family's 1533-position model. Lineage: Bacteria; Pseudomonadati; Bacteroidota; Sphingobacteriia; Sphingobacteriales. The record is from RNAcentral.
GGUCAAUGGGCGCAAGCCUGAACCAGCCUGCCGCGUGAAGGAUGACGGCCCUAUGGGUUGUAAACUUCUUUUGUACGGGAAAAAACCACCGGUCGUGUAUCGGUGCUGAUGGUACCGUAAGAAUAAGCAUCGGCUAACUCCGUGCCAGCAGCCGCGGUAAUACGGAGGAUGCAAGCGUUAUCCGGAUUCAUUGGGUUUAAAGGGUGCGCAGGCGGAGUGAUAAGUCAGUGGUGAAAGCCUACAGCUUAACUGUAGAACUGCCAUUGAUACUGUCAUUCUUGAGUAUUGUUGAGGUAGGCGGAAUGUGUCAUGUAGCGGUGAAAUGCUUAGAUAUGACACAGAACACCGAUCGCGAAGGCAGCUUACCAAGCAAUAACUGACGCUCAUGCACGAAAGCGUGGGGAUCAAACAGGAUUAGAUACCCUGGUAGUCCACGCCGUAAACGAUGAUCACUCGAUGUUGGCGAUACACAGUCAGCGUCUUAGGGAAACUAUUAAGUGAUCCACCUGGGGAGUACGGUCGCAAGAUUGAAACUCAAAGGA